UAACAUCUAUCAUGACAUUGCAUGUGAUACAUCAACUUUUCCCGCAGAUCCCACAUUAUCAUCUAGUAGAAGCAGCAAAAGCAGCUAAACCAGUACUAAGGAAGUGUUACAGGGAGCCUGAUAAGUCUGAACCUUUGCCAUUACAUUUACUGAGAAUCUUAGCAAAAGGUAUGAAAGAAGAUCAUUAUGUGAGGGAUGAAGGAGAUGUUGUAUACUAUAAAGCAGAUCCUAAUCUUUAUGGAGAGAUCAAGGUAACAGCAAGUUAAAAUGAAGCAGACAGAGAGGGAGAGAUAAGCUGUGAAACUUAUCCAUUUCUGACCAGCUGAAUUUUUUGCUUAUCAAUGUUAAUUUUUUUGUGUUACCACUAGAGAGUUAAUGUCUCUGAAUACAAUCAGAUUGAAACGACAAGUUUGUUUUCAAUAGACAAUACUGAAGCUAUAUAUACAAGAUACAUUGCAUUGUAUUAGAUUGACCAUUCUUAAGGUUAAUAUAUAUAUGGAUGCUUAAACCAAACAUUUUUUUUUUUUUUUUUAAAACCAAACAUUUUCAGUUUUUGUUAGUUUGUAUUUUAAGGUUAGUUUCAAUAAUAAUUUCGGGAUGAUGAAUCUUGCUCUGAAAAUAUACAUCAAAGCUAGCUAGAGCUACCCCCAAAUGUCGUAGCAGCAACUAAUAUUUGAUAUAUAUCUGCAUGCUGGUUUGAUGCUUCUUGAGGAUGUCUUAAGGUACUUCAAGUUAAUACGAAGGAAUAUGCCGUUGUGGCCGCUCAUGAUCAUUCAUUAAUCAGGCACUGUGAAUAUAUAUUCUCAGCCAGUCAGGAAAGCUUAAAGAGGCAUAUGAGCUUAUUAUACAUGUGGAGGUGGAACCUCAUGCUAGUAGUACAUGUGGUUCGCUAUUGAGUGGUUGUAGUGAAAACAUGGGACUAUACUGAGAUUGCACCAGUUGUUGCUAGGCAAGUCUUUGAGCUUGUCAGAAAAAGACCAAAGUGCUGGUAAGUCUUUUACUAUGCUUGCUUUUGGGUAGCUGUAGGCAAGUCUUGUUGCUUGUGGUCUUUCAAUAUGUAGUUGGUUACAUUUGUAAAUGUGCCUUCUAUAUUCAAUGAACCAUGUUUCCGUUAUUGGGAAGCCGACCUUCUAUUUAUGGAACAUGGUCAACCAACCAUUUUAUAAUACGAGUUUUGCCCAUAAUAUAUGAACUGAACCAUGUAAACUCUUAAACUCUGCUUAAUUGAUCUAAAAAGUAAUCUUGAAUUAACGAAUAUAGUUGGCAAGAUAAUAACUAAAAAAGUUUGAUUGGUUUGUUGAAUUUUCUGCGGGCGCCUACUUUGCUACAGCAUGCCACAAAAAAUAAUUAUCACUUACUUCCUUGAUUUUUUUUGUCUAAUUUUGUCAUAAGUUAAAUAAUUAUCAUUGCACUGGCAUAAAUAUGGAUGGUUAGUCACCGUCCACUGCUAAAACAGAUAUAAGGCACCGUCCAUUUACAUAGUUAAGAAAAUUAUUGAUACAUUACAAACUCAUUUUGCAGAUGUGCGUACUAUUCCAUGGAACACGAGUCUCAAUGUUACACAUGUUUAACAGAAGGACAACACAUAAAGGGUUGUUGAGACGACUUGGUGAUAUGAAGAGACGUUGCAUGCUCGUUUUUCAGAUGGUCCAGCUCGGUUUAAUAAGUUCGUAUCAACUUUAUUUAGGAGGAACGUCAGGGUAAACGUCAGUUGAAGGAAAAAAAAAAAAACUUUUUAC
Brassica rapa (field mustard) is the source of this 1739-nucleotide long non-coding RNA. RefSeq lists it as uncharacterized. The record is from RefSeq and is a predicted model, not a curated record. Lineage: Eukaryota; Viridiplantae; Streptophyta; Magnoliopsida; Brassicales; Brassicaceae.